CCCUUCUUCUCCGCGUUGUCACCGCCUAGAUCUGGCCGGGAUCUCACCAGCGAACCAACUUAACGAACCGACUGGCGAAGCCUUCCGCGCUGCCUACCCGUGUCGUCGACUCCUCUCUCUCCCUCCGUCGUCGAAACCUGGUGCAACAGCACCUGUAUCACCUACCAGCGUCGCCCCUUUUUCUUUCCCCUUUCACUGUCAUCUCCGUCAGAUCGAAAAAAUUUCAAAACCGAUGAAACCAUGGCUUCCUGCUCUUUUAUUUACUUCUGUUAG
This 273-nucleotide long non-coding RNA is filed under the name Capsicum annuum. RNAcentral's name for it is "long non-coding RNA (CANN_LNC021328)". The record is from RNAcentral. Lineage: Eukaryota; Viridiplantae; Streptophyta; Magnoliopsida; Solanales; Solanaceae.